UUUAGCUGCAUUUGACAGCGAGAAGAAAGUGUCGAGGACUGGGAUUCAAAGCUUUGCUUUCACCGAUAGCUACUGCAGGACGAGGAUUUUUUUUAAUUACGAAACAUUCCUCUGUUUCCAUUCAGCUAUUAUAGCUCUUCAGGAGAAUAAAAUGGAGGGUGCCCUGCCCCUGUCCUCGCUGAGGCUCCUGGUUCCACCUCUGCGAGUGAUGUUGGCUGUGAUGUGGAAGGUGGUUCGUCAGAAGAACAUAAAGCAUUAUGGGAAAGUGGAGGAGUUUGUGUCCUUGGUAACUGGAGCCAUCCCUGACAUCUUGACAAACAGACAGAUGAGACUGCUCACCCUGGGCUUGAGAGCAAAGAUGACUUUACAAAUGUUAUGUUCUGACCAGUCAGAGGAUCUCAGACGGGUUACAACACACUUAGACAGCCUCCUGCCACCCAACUCAAAAGAGCUUCAGCCAGAAAACGAAGCUCUUGAAGUUAACUUUAUCAGGCUUGUUCGGAAACUUCUGGACGACCCAAAAGGGAGGGAACACUUUCUUAAGAAUGUGUUUCCUGUGGAGUAUGGCCCCAACUUUGAUACAGCACUGGAGACUCUGGUUUGUGAGUUCUUCACCCGACUAGAAGAACUGGUGCUUAUACCAAACUUUAAACAGUUUUGUUUGUUUGAUAAAGACCGCAGUGUGGAUCAGUGAUACAUCUUCUGUGCUAGAAGAGUACAUGCAGUGUGUUACCAAAGCAGAUGACCUCAAAGUUUUGCUCAAAAGUGAGGUGCAUCAUGGUAAAAUGGCCAAGAUGGAUUCCAGUGUGCCCUCUCCCUGCGAGCAGCAGCUCCUCUCAUCAUUAUCUCUUCCCCCUUCGUUAAGAGUGACCGACACCAAAGAUGUGGAAUCUAACACGCAAACAUUUGAAAACCAAAGCGAAUCAGAGGCGAUUUCUCCGCAGGAAG
RNA transcript from Toxotes jaculatrix (banded archerfish), 948 nucleotides. It is a transcript of the gene named TERF1-interacting nuclear factor 2-like, with no coding region annotated. The record is from RefSeq and is a predicted model, not a curated record. The transcript is spliced from 7 exons. NCBI's taxonomy places the organism in Eukaryota, Metazoa, Chordata, Actinopteri, Toxotidae.